AUAUAUAUGUGUGAGGUGUGUAUGUGGUGUGUUGAUUCGUGUGUGGGGUGUGUGUAUCUAUAUGGUACAUUUGUAUAUCUGGUGUAUUUGUGAAUGUACAUCAGAAGUGUUGUGGUAGGUGUGUGUGCAGGUGUGUGUGUGCAGUGUUUACACUGUGUGUGUAGUUUGUCUACGUAUGUGUGGAGUGUGUGUAAGUAUAAGAGGGAUACUGAGACCCAUGGCCAGGGGGAGCUAGAGUGUUCAGGGCACGUCCCAAAGCCAGGCCUGGUUCUCAUACUCCCUUGCCUUUUUGGAGAAAGCAGGGCCAUAAACAGCGACCCUUUCUGGAUGUCCCCUGUCGCCGGCAGUGUGGGUUAAAGGGCCAGUGUCUCUUGCAGUGCCGCUGCCCAGGCUCCGCUCACUUCUGUCCUCCCCCUUCCUGAGAAAAGAGCAACUUCCCCUUUAAGAGAAGGAAGCUUCAUUGCUCUACUAAAGAAAGGGAUCUAACGUUUGGUGGUGAGGGUGGUGGAGGUGGUGCCACCACAGGAGUUAGAUUAGUAUCGGAGUGGCACUGGGGUCUCCCAGCUGAACAGGUUAGCUGCUGACGUGGCAGAAGGAGUCAUGAGGGAACCUGCGAGGCAGCGGGACCUUGAACCCAGUGGGGGUGAAGGGCCCCGUGUGGGCCUCAGUCUUUUCUCCCCCAGGCCACAUACGGAUAAUGUCUUCAGCACUUUCAGCCUCAGUGUCCUGUCUGCAUUCUAUGGCUUGAGCCUAAACUUGCCUAUUUUCCCUGGCUGCAUGGAGUGGCAGAGCCAGGAUACCUCCCUGGCCAGAAAGGAUGCCUGGACUCAGACUUCCCCAGCCAGGAGAAGGAUCAGGUCCACUCAAGUCCAGGGUGCAGGUAAGUCUGUCUACUAUUGGGCUGGGGCCAGGGAAGCAGGCUUGUCCCUGCUAUGGGCAGUGCUCAACAAGUGGGUGUGGAGAAAGAGGAGAAAGGGCUUUACCAUGUGCCAGGAUUCAAACGAUCUGCGGGCCGUUACGUGAGUCAUUUGCAGUUGACCACUAGUUUGUAGAUUUCUGGGCUCUUCUCCAGUUUCUCCUCCCCGCUGGUGGCCAGUUGGCCCUGUGGCCUCUAGUUUCCUUGCCUGCCUCAAGAAGGCAGGUCUGUGACCUUCACUUGCCAUUGGCCAUGGGUCAGGCAUGGAGGCCAAGGAAGAACAGAAGGAGGGUGGUCCUUGGGGCAGACAGGCCUGGGCUCAACUUUCAGCUCUGCCAGCCCUGGACAAGUCACCUGUUCUCUCUGUGUGAGAUUCAGAUUUAUCCCUGGUGAAUUGGAGCUAAAACUUCCUAGAGUUACUGGUAAAGAUUAACCGAGAAGAUGGCUGUAAAUUGCACAGCUCAGCCACUGGCACUAGGUCCUCAAUACAAAAAGCUUUAUUCUCCACUUUCUCUCUUGCAUCCCCCCAUCUUGUCUUGAGUGGCUCAAUGAGUCACAAAUAUCCAUUUGGCAACUUCCAACACUCCCCAUUUUUAGAUUUACAUAAGACCAGCAGCUUUCUCUCCCUCAGCAGCAACAGUCAGAGGGUUGCAGAGCAGAUGUCUUGGUGUGAAACUG
This 1594-nucleotide long non-coding RNA is filed under the name Bos grunniens (domestic yak). RNAcentral's name for it is "lncRNA (ENSBGRG00000006293.1)". The record is from RNAcentral. Lineage: Eukaryota; Metazoa; Chordata; Mammalia; Artiodactyla; Bovidae.